AGUGAGAUAUGCACAAGCAUUCCAGGUUCCUUGGACUUGGGGUAGAAGCUGAGUUCAGCAGCCCACUGGCCCCCAUGGCACAACUUCCUCAUUCACUUUGUUGAUGAAAUUUCUGGCUCCUGUGAAAUGGCGUGGGACUCUUCUGUUAAAGGAUAUCUCUGAGACAUGAUACCGAUCGUGGGAAUCUUCUGUUAAAGGAUGUCUCUGAGACAUGAUACCGAUCGUGGGAAUCUGCUGUUAAACGAUGUCUCUGAGACAUGAUACCGAUCGUGGGACUCUUCUGUUAAACGAUGUCUCUGAGACAUGAUACCGAUCGUGGGACUCUUCUGUUAAACGAUGUCUCUGAGACAUGAUACCGAUCGUGGGACUCUUCUGUUAAACGAUGUCUCUGAGACAUGAUACCGAUCGUGGGACUCUUCUGUUAAACGAUGUCUCUGAGACAUGAUACCGAUCGUGGGACUCUUCUGUUAAACGAUGUCUCUGAGACAUGAUACCGAUCGUGGGACUCUUCUGUUAAACGAUGUCUCUGAGACAUGAUACCGAUCGUGGGACUCUUCUGUUAAACGAUGUCUCUGAGACAUGAUACCGAUCGUGGGACUCUUCUGUUAAACGAUGUCUCUGAGACAUGAUACCGAUCGUGGGAAUCUUCUGUUAAACGAUGUCUCUGAGACAUGAUACCGAUCGUGGGACUCUUCUGUUAAACGAUGUCUCUGAGACAUGAUACCGAUCGUGGGACUCUUCUGUUAAACGAUGUCUCUGAGACAUGAUACCGAUCGUGGGAAUCUUCUGUUAAACGAUGUCUCUGAGACAUGAUACCGAUCGUGGGACUCUUCUGUUAAACGAUGUCUCUGAGACAUGAUACCGAUCGUGGGACUCUUCUGUUAAACGAUGUCUCUGAGACAUGAUACCGAUCGUGGGACUCUUCUGUUAAACGAUGUCUCUGAGACAUGAUACCGAUCGUGGGACUCUUCUGUUAAACGAUGUCUCUGAGACAUGAUACCGAUCGUGGGAAUCUUCUGUUAAACGAUGUCUCUGAGACAUGAUACCGAUCGUGGGAAUCUUCUGUUAAACGAUGUCUCUGAGACAUGAUACCGAUCGUGGGACUCUUCUGUUAAACGAUGUCUCUGAGACAUGAUACUGAUCGUGGGAAUCUUCUGUUAAACGAUGUCUCUGAGACAUGAUACCGAUCGUGGGAAUCUUCUGUUAAACGAUGUCUCUGAGACAUGAUACCGAUCGUGGGAAUCUUCUGUU
This 1251-nucleotide long non-coding RNA is filed under the name Homo sapiens (human). RNAcentral's name for it is "HSALNT0270033". The record is from RNAcentral. Lineage: Eukaryota; Metazoa; Chordata; Mammalia; Primates; Hominidae.